CAACCUUGCAGUCCAGGUAUAAAUCCCACUUGGUCAUGAAUACCUACCAUCCAUGAAACGUGUCUUAAAAGAUGGAGGAAAAUAAAGGCUGGAUGCUGCCCUCAAGGAAACUAUGAUAAGGCUCAAUGCAGGGAAGUUGGAAAACAUUUCAACACAAAGAGGGAGAGCUUAC
Long non-coding RNA from Neogale vison (American mink), 172 nucleotides. RefSeq lists it as uncharacterized. Lineage: Eukaryota; Metazoa; Chordata; Mammalia; Carnivora; Mustelidae. The transcript is spliced from 3 exons. The record is from RefSeq and is a predicted model, not a curated record.